Molecule: ribosomal RNA, 135 nt
Filed under: uncultured Alphaproteobacteria bacterium
Lineage: Bacteria; Pseudomonadati; Pseudomonadota; Alphaproteobacteria
Description: partial 16S ribosomal RNA
Rfam family: Bacterial small subunit ribosomal RNA
Source: RNAcentral
UGGGGAAUCUUGCACAAUGGAGGAAACUCUGAUGCAGCGAUGCCGCGUGAGUGAAGAAGGCCUUUGGGUUGUAAAGCUCUUUCGUCGGGGAAGAAAAUGACUGUACCCGAAUAAGAAGGUCCGGCUAACUUCGUG